GGAGGAAUAUUGCGCAAUGGAGGCAACUCUGACGCAGCCAUGCCGCGUGCAGGAAGAAGGCCCUACGGGUUGUAAACUGCUUUUAUUAGGGAAGAAACCCCCGGACGUGUCCGGGGUUGACGGUACCUAAGGAAUAAGCACCGGCUAACUCCGUGCCAGCAGCCGCGGUAAUACGGAGGGUGCAAGCGUUAUCCGGAUUCAUUGGGUUUAAAGGGUGCGUAGGCGGGACGUUAAGUCAGUGGUGAAAUCC
Molecule: ribosomal RNA, 250 nt
Filed under: uncultured bacterium
Lineage: Bacteria
Description: partial 16S ribosomal RNA
Rfam family: Bacterial small subunit ribosomal RNA
Source: RNAcentral